GGGGCUGUAGCUCAGUGGUAGAGUGCUUGCCUUGCAUACGUGAGGCCCUGGGUUCGAUCCUCAGCACCA
Non-coding RNA from Ictidomys tridecemlineatus (thirteen-lined ground squirrel), 69 nucleotides. NCBI's taxonomy places the organism in Eukaryota, Metazoa, Chordata, Mammalia, Rodentia, Sciuridae. The record is from Rfam.